RNAcentral lists this ribosomal RNA (547 nucleotides) under uncultured bacterium. RNAcentral describes it as "bacterial SSU rRNA". It matches the Rfam family "Bacterial small subunit ribosomal RNA", at positions 355 to 896 of the family's 1533-position model. The record is from RNAcentral.
UGGGGAAUAUUGCGCAAUGGGGGGAACCCUGGCGCAGCCAUGCCGCGUGAAUGAAGAAGGCCUUCGGGUUGUAAAGUUCUUUCGGUAUUGAGGAAGGUUGAUGUGUUAAUAGCACAUCAAAUUGACGUUAAAUACAGAAGAAGCACCGGCUAACUCCGUGCCAGCAGCCGCGGUAAUACGGAGGGUGCGAGCGUUAAUCGGAAUAACUGGGCGUAAAGGGCACGCAGGCGGUUAUUUAAGUGAGGUGUGAAAGCCCCGGGCUUAACCUGGGAAUUGCAUUUCAGACUGGGUAACUAGAGUACUUUAGGGAGGGGUAGAAUUCCACGUGUAGCGGUGAAAUGCGUAGAGAUGUGGAGGAAUACCGAAGGCGAAGGCAGCCCCUUGGGAAUGUACUGACGCUCAUGUGCGAAAGCGUGGGGAGCAAACAGGAUUAGAUACCCUGGUAGUCCACGCUGUAAACGCUGUCGAUUUGGGGGUUGGGGUUUAACUCUGGCGCCCGUAGCUAACGUGAUAAAUCGACCGCCUGGGGAGUACGGCCGCAAGGUUA